RNAcentral lists this ribosomal RNA (253 nucleotides) under uncultured bacterium. Its description in RNAcentral is "partial 16S ribosomal RNA". It matches the Rfam family "Bacterial small subunit ribosomal RNA", at positions 524 to 776 of the family's 1533-position model. The record is from RNAcentral.
UACGUAGGGGGCAAGCGUUGUCCAGAAUCAUUGGGCGUAAAGAGCGUGUAGGCGGCUCAGUAAGUCGGGUGUGAAAACUCCAGGCUCAACCUGGAGACGCCACCUGAUACUGUCGGGCUAGAGUCCGGAAGAGGCGAGUGGAAUUCCCGGUGUAGCGGUGAAAUGCGCAGAUAUCGGGAGGAACACCAAUGGCGAAGGCAGCUCGCUGGGACGGUACUGACGCUGAGAAGCGAAAGCGUGGGGAGCGAACAGG